Biomphalaria glabrata is the source of this 58-nucleotide non-coding RNA. NCBI's taxonomy places the organism in Eukaryota, Metazoa, Mollusca, Gastropoda, Planorbidae. The record is from Rfam.
AUGGCUGAGCGGUAGAGCGCUUGGCUUUCGAACUAGGGUCCCGGGUUCGAAUCCUGGU